Molecule: long non-coding RNA, 2391 nt
Organism: Megachile rotundata (alfalfa leafcutting bee)
Lineage: Eukaryota; Metazoa; Arthropoda; Insecta; Hymenoptera; Megachilidae
Source: RefSeq, a predicted model, not a curated record
AAUUUUCAAUAUAUUUAACAAUUAAUAUUACAGAAACACACAUCAUACACCACUUGUUCCACUACAAUUUAUUUCUUCUGUUUAUUUGAAAUAUAGUUUCAGUUAUUUGUAUAUGGUUGUAGAGAAUAAAUCUCUCCUCUAUCUCCUAGAGGGUUUUUGAAUGUCGCGCGGAAAUGUGUUAAACCGUUACCCCGCCCCCCUAUUGUUUUUUAUGUCGCGUCCGUUGCAACAGAAGCCGAGUAUAAGAGCCGAAAUAAUAAACCGAAUUGGGGGUAGAGGCUGAUUACCCCUAUUAUGCGACAGUGGGCGAGGAAACGAAUGAAGCGGAAUAAAAAGAAAGAAUGGAAGGGAAAGAGGCUUCAGGGAUUCCGUCGAGCCGAGUGAAACUGCGAACGACAGAUGUGAGGACUGCCAAUACGUCAUUCGAAUGUCAAUAAGUCGAGGAUGGAAGAUUUCUAGCCCGCAAAUGGCAGCAAUAUUUCUAGGGACAUCGUUAUGGGGUUUGGAAAGUGUUAACUCCAGAAAGGUGGAGCUAACUUACAAUUAGAGUAAGUUGUUUGUAGAUCUGUGUAAAGACAUCAAAGGACUUCGAAGACAUGUAUGAAGACACGACAAGAUCACUGUUUUUUCCAUUCAUGACCCGUUGAAUAUUCACUGUUUUCUUCAUGAAUUCCAUUCGCGAGCAUUGUCCAUAUAUUUUUAAUCAUAUUUAUAUUCGCCGAAUGUGACGUACAUUUUAACGUUUAAAUAGUGCGAUUCAGUAAUGUGUAUCAUUAAUUGUAUAAACUGUUUUACGUGUUGUCCAUUAUUUAGUCGUUUUUAUAGUGAAUUUUGUAUUUAAAUUUGUGGUCUUCAUCGUCCAAUUUUAUAUUGUACUUCUAAUUUAAAUAUGUGGUUAUUGGUCAGUUUUAUAGUUUACUUGCAAUUUAAGUACAUGGAAGUUAAUCCUCCAAUUUUAUAGUUUACAUCCAAUUUAAGAAUGUGAUGAUUCAUCCUCCAAUAUCAUAGUCUAUUUCCAAGUUAAAUAUGUGAUCAUUAAUUGUUCAAUUUUAUAAUUCACUUCAAACUUAAAUAUGUAAUCAUUAACACUAUUUCUAUCACGAUUAUGUGAUACCUAUUUCGACCCAAAGGUGUCUUUUGACGCCCCUCCGUUUGAAUACAAAUAAUUGCCAAAACUUGGGAUUUCAAAUUAUCAAAUAUAGAUAAUUUCAGGAAUAUAUUGAUGCGUUUUUAUUAGAGAUUAUCAGGUUGUAAAUUUUAGCUUAAUUCAUCAAUCUACAAAAUACAUAUAAAUAUAGCGGUGUACAGUAAAAUGCAACAUGGCGUGAUAUAAGCGAAUAUCAAAGUUAUGCCGCAACUCCUGUAGUUUCCGUUAUAACUGAAAUCAGAAUUCUCUAAUCACAUUAUAAUUGAUAUGAUGCUGCAAAAUGGUGUUAAUAUUUGUAUGUAAAAUGCUUAAAAAUUAAGCACUGUCAUGAAAUUCUUAAGGUGUGAAAACCUCCUGGUAGAAAUAAGUAUACCAUAUGCACAUUUGUAGACCUAAAUGAGCUGGAAGAAAAUGAUGUCGCCGAAUUAAUUUAACAACUAUUGUAUGAAAGGUCAAAAAAUUAAUUGUGGAGAAAUGAUUCAACUUAGAGAAUAAUUUUAAGUUAAAAUUUGAACGGUGUCUUUUGACAUCUCUUGAUAGGAAUAGUGUUAAUCAUCCAAUUUUAUAAUUUACUCCCAAUUUAAAUACGUGAUGAUUAAUCGUCCAAUUUUAUACUUUAUUUCCAAUUUCAAUAUGUGGUCAUUAAUCGUGUAAUUUUAUAAUUUCUCUCUAAUUCAAAUACGUGGUGAUUAAUCCAUAAAUCCAGAUUCAAGGGUCCUGAGGAAUUAAUUGACACCUCUUGAUUGAAAUAGUGUUAAAUAAAUAAUUAUAAGUCAUCUUUCGAGUGCAGAGAACAUAUUCCAGGCCCACGAGAUUGAAAAAAAUAAAAGCUGAAGUUGUACCAAAUUUUCAUCAAAAUUAAAUUAAAUUAAAUUGUCAAAGGUUCGUCGGUUAAAUAAAUUCCACCCUUGUUUAACCGCAUCAUAAAGUAAUGUAAAUAUUGGUCACUGGUUUGAUAGCAUUUGUAGCAAACACUAGACCGAAUAUUGGCUAACGAUCAGGUAUCGACGAAACAAAUCAACAUUAACCAAUAUUGGAUGGAAUAUAACAUUGGCCAAUGUUUGCCGAACGCUAUUCGAGUCUAUGCAAGUUGUGUUUAUAAACUAUGAAUGUUAUGAACAAGAAUUUCGUGAACCAGAUUCUGAUUACGUAUCGAUUGGUAUUAGACCAAUGUUAAUUUGUAUCUAGAAUCAACUAUUCAUAAUUGAAUAGCUCUGAACAGAUCGAUAGCUAUACAAAUUUGA